CCUGCUGAUUGAUCAGCUUG
RNAcentral lists this small nuclear RNA (20 nucleotides) under Arabidopsis thaliana (thale cress). RNAcentral describes it as "snRNA_13803". Lineage: Eukaryota; Viridiplantae; Streptophyta; Magnoliopsida; Brassicales; Brassicaceae. The record is from RNAcentral.